AAAGCUUCCUUCUUCGCAUAUCAGCCUUGGGAAACGCUUCGUCCAUGCUACCAGCCAUGAAAGACGUGCAUGCGUGUUACUCACUGCCUUGCUAUCUAAUAUUUUCUCGUAUGACGUGUGGGUGGCCAGACAAGAGAGAGAACACUACUUAGAGCACCACAGACACUAACACUGGGCCCACUGUCACCUAUACGUGCCCAGCUGACUCUCUU
Molecule: long non-coding RNA, 212 nt
Organism: Scylla paramamosain (green mud crab)
Lineage: Eukaryota; Metazoa; Arthropoda; Malacostraca; Decapoda; Portunidae
Exons: 3
Source: RefSeq, a predicted model, not a curated record